Molecule: ribosomal RNA, 775 nt
Filed under: uncultured Neocallimastigales
Lineage: Eukaryota; Fungi; Neocallimastigomycota; Neocallimastigomycetes; Neocallimastigales
Description: partial large subunit ribosomal RNA
Rfam family: Eukaryotic large subunit ribosomal RNA
Source: RNAcentral
GUACACGCUGUGACUAGCAUAUCAAUAAGCGGAGGAAAAGAAACUAACAAGGAUUCCCCUAGUAACGGCGAGUGAAGCGGGAAGAGCUCAAAUUUGAAAUCUUAAAGGGUUUCCCUUUACGAAUUGUAGUUUAAAGAAGUGUUUUCUGUUGAGGUUUUGGUAAAAGUUCUUUGGAAUAGGACAUCAUAGAGGGUGAGAAUCCCGUAUUUGACCUUUACUUUCAACUUUGUGAUACACUUUCAAAGAGUCGGAUUGUUUGGGAAUGCAGUCCAAAAUGGGUGGUAAAUUUCAUCUAAAGCUAAAUAUUGGCGAGAGACCGAUAGCGAACAAGUACCGUGAGGGAAAGAUGAAAAGAACUUUGAAAAGAGAGUUAAACAGUACGUGAAAUUGUCAAAAGGGAAGCGUUUGACACCAGUGUCGUUUUUCUGAAAAUCAAUUAAAGAACUGUUUAUGCUAAGCUUGUUUAGACUUUAUCAGCUAUCUGUUUAGUUUUAGGCUUUUCUUUAAUGCACUUUUCAGUUAACAAGUCAACAUCAAUUUCUUUUGCUGUAAAAAAGCUUGAGGAAGGUGGCUUGAGAUUCGUCUUAAGUGUUUAUAGCCUCUUGCCUAUGCAGUCGGAGAGAUUGAGGUCUGCAGCGUAGAUCCUUCGGGGCUAAAUGCAUUUGUGCUAAGUUAUAGCAUUUUAUAGACAACUUGUUGACUAUGAUUUGUCUUGUAGCUUACUCGCUUAUGUUAUUUUACCUACGCUUAGGAUGUUGAAGUCAUCGUAUCGCGC